RNAcentral lists this ribosomal RNA (253 nucleotides) under uncultured bacterium. Its description in RNAcentral is "partial 16S ribosomal RNA". It matches the Rfam family "Bacterial small subunit ribosomal RNA", at positions 524 to 776 of the family's 1533-position model. The record is from RNAcentral.
UACGUAGGGACCAAGCGUUGUCCGGAAUUAUUGGGCGUAAAGAGCUCGUAGGCGGCUUGUCACGUCGGGUGUGAAAGCCCGGGGCUUAACCCCGGGUCUGCAUUCGAUACGGGCAGGCUAGAGUGUGGUAGGGGAGAUCGGAAUUCCUGGUGUAGCGGUGAAAUGCGCAGAUAUCAGGAGGAACACCGGUGGCGAAGGCGGAUCUCUGGGCCAUUACUGACGCUGAGGAGCGAAAGCGUGGGGAGCGAACAGG